AUUGAACGCUGGCGGCAGGCCUAACACAUGCAAGUCGGACGGUAGCACAGAGGAGCUUGCUCCUCGGGUGACGAGUGGCGGACGGGUGAGUAAUGUCUGGGGAUCUGCCCGAUAGAGGGGGAUAACCACUGGAAACGGUGGCUAAUACCGCAUAACGUCGCAAGACCAAAGAGGGGGACCUUCGGGCCUCUCACUAUCGGAUGAACCCAGAUGGGAUUAGCUAGUAGGCGGGGUAACGGCCCACCUAGGCGACGAUCCCUAGCUGGUCUGAGAGGAUGACCAGCCACACUGGAACUGAGACACGGUCCAGACUCCUACGGGAGGCAGCAGUGGGGGAUAUUGCACAAUGGGCACAAGCCUGAUGCAGCCAUGCCGCGUGUAUGAAGAAGGCCUUCGGGUUGUAAAGUACUUUCAGCGGGGAGGAAGGCGAUGUGGUUAAUAACCGCAUUGAUUGACGUUACCCGCAGAAGAAGCACCGGCUAACUCCGUGCCAGCCGCCGCGGUAA
This 506-nucleotide ribosomal RNA is filed under the name uncultured bacterium. RNAcentral's name for it is "partial 16S ribosomal RNA". It matches the Rfam family "Bacterial small subunit ribosomal RNA", at positions 29 to 523 of the family's 1533-position model. The record is from RNAcentral.